AUUUUAUAUAUUUAUUUUUGAUAGGUGUUAUGGAUUUUAAUUUAUUUAUUAAGGGUAAAUGUAUUUUGUUGGGGUGAUAGUGGAAUAUAAUUAACUUCUAUUUUUAAUAAUCAUUAAUGAUUGUAUGUUUGAUCCUUUAUUAAGGAGUAUAAGAUUAAAUUACCUUAGGGAUAACAGCGUAAUUUUGUUGGAGAGUUCUUAUCGAUAAUUUGGAGUUUGCGACCUCGAUGUUGGAUUAAAGAUAGUUUUUGGUGUAGCAGUUGAAUAACUAGGUCUGUUCGACCUUUAAAUCUUUACGUGAUCUGAG
RNAcentral lists this ribosomal RNA (307 nucleotides) under Maevius indecorus. RNAcentral's name for it is "partial 16S ribosomal RNA". The stretch from base 170 to 307 matches the Rfam family "Bacterial large subunit ribosomal RNA", at positions 2473 to 2609 of the family's 2925-position model. The record is from RNAcentral. Lineage: Eukaryota; Metazoa; Arthropoda; Insecta; Hemiptera; Hyocephalidae.